CCUACGGGUGGCAGCAGUGGGGAAUAUUGCACAAUGGGCGAAAGCCUGAUGCAGCAACGCCGCGUGAAGGAAGACGGUUUUCGGAUUGUAAACUUCUAUCAAUAGGGAAGAAAGAAAUGACGGUACCUAAAUAAGAAGCUCCGGCUAACUACGUGCCAGCAGCCGCGGUAAUACGUAGGGGGCAAGCGUUAUCCGGAAUUACUGGGAGUAAAGGGAGAGUAGGCGGCAAGGUAAGCGAUAUGUGAAAGCCUUAAGCUUAACUUAAGGAUUGCAUAACGAACUAUCUAGCUAGAGUGCGGGAGAGGAUAGCGGAAUUCCAGGUGUAGCGGUGAAAUGCGUAGAUAUUAGGAAGAACACCAGUGGCGAAGGCGGCUUUCUGGACUAAAACUGACGCUGAGGCUCGAAAGCGUGGGGAGCGAACAGGAUUAGAUACCCGUGUAGUC
This 443-nucleotide ribosomal RNA is filed under the name uncultured bacterium. RNAcentral describes it as "partial 16S ribosomal RNA". It matches the Rfam family "Bacterial small subunit ribosomal RNA", at positions 338 to 795 of the family's 1533-position model. The record is from RNAcentral.